Molecule: ribosomal RNA, 1436 nt
Filed under: Burkholderia sp. UT 1-12
Lineage: Bacteria; Pseudomonadati; Pseudomonadota; Betaproteobacteria; Burkholderiales; Burkholderiaceae
Description: bacterial SSU rRNA
Rfam family: Bacterial small subunit ribosomal RNA
Source: RNAcentral
GAACGCUGGCGGCAUGCCUUACACAUGCAAGUCGAACGGCAGCACGGGUGCUUGCACCUGGUGGCGAGUGGCGAACGGGUGAGUAAUACAUCGGAACAUGUCCUGUAGUGGGGGAUAGCCCGGCGAAAGCCGGAUUAAUACCGCAUACGAUCUACGGAUGAAAGCGGGGGACCUUCGGGCCUCGCGCUAUAGGGUUGGCCGAUGGCUGAUUAGCUAGUUGGUGGGGUAAAGGCCUACCAAGGCGACGAUCAGUAGCUGGUCUGAGAGGACGACCAGCCACACUGGGACUGAGACACGGCCCAGACUCCUACGGGAGGCAGCAGUGGGGAAUUUUGGACAAUGGGCGAAAGCCUGAUCCAGCAAUGCCGCGUGUGUGAAGAAGGCCUUCGGGUUGUAAAGCACUUUUGUCCGGAAAGAAAUCCUUGGCUCUAAUACAGUCGGGGGAUGACGGUACCGGAAGAAUAAGCACCGGCUAACUACGUGCCAGCAGCCGCGGUAAUACGUAGGGUGCGAGCGUUAAUCGGAAUUACUGGGCGUAAAGCGUGCGCAGGCGGUUUGCUAAGACCGAUGUGAAAUCCCCGGGCUCAACCUGGGAACUGCAUUGGUGACUGGCAGGCUAGAGUAUGGCAGAGGGGGGUAGAAUUCCACGUGUAGCAGUGAAAUGCGUAGAGAUGUGGAGGAAUACCGAUGGCGAAGGCAGCCCCCUGGGCCAAUACUGACGCUCAUGCACGAAAGCGUGGGGAGCAAACAGGAUUAGAUACCCUGGUAGUCCACGCCCUAAACGAUGUCAACUAGUUGUUGGGGAUUCAUUUCCUUAGUAACGUAGCUAACGCGUGAAGUUGACCGCCUGGGGAGUACGGUCGCAAGAUUAAAACUCAAAGGAAUUGACGGGGACCCGCACAAGCGGUGGAUGAUGUGGAUUAAUUCGAUGCAACGCGAAAAACCUUACCUACCCUUGACAUGGUCGGAAUCCCGCUGAGAGGUGGGAGUGCUCGAAAGAGAACCGAUACACAGGUGCUGCAUGGCUGUCGUCAGCUCGUGUCGUGAGAUGUUGGGUUAAGUCCCGCAACGAGCGCAACCCUUGUCCUUAGUUGCUACGCAAGAGCACUCUAAGGAGACUGCCGGUGACAAACCGGAGGAAGGUGGGGGAUGACGUCAAGUCCUCAUGGCCCUUAUGGGUAGGGCUUCACACGUCAUACAAUGGUCGGAACAGAGGGUUGCCAACCCGCGAGGGGGAGCUAAUCCCAGAAAACCGAUCGUAGUCCGGAUUGCACUCUGCAACUCGAGUGCAUGAAGCUGGAAUCGCUAGUAAUCGCGGAUCAGCAUGCCGCGGGUGAAUACGUUCCCCGGGUCUUGUACACACCGCCCGUCCACCAUGGGGAAGUGGGUUUUACCAGAAGUGGCUAGUCUAACCGCAAGGGAGGACGGUCACCACC